AUUGAUAUUGUUGCAGAGCUGCAAUUUUAUAAUCCCAGGAUCUCUGCUGGUAGAAUGCAAUAACCAAGUACAAAGCUGGAAGCAGGCAAUAUUCCCAAAUCCUCCCAAGAACCAGACGAAACACAGUCUGAGAGUCAACUGCCACUUUAUUCAAAAAGACUGAUAUUUAAAGCAGGUCACUCAACUGUCACUUUAUUCAAAAAGACUGAUAUUUAAAGCAGGUCACUCAACUGUCACUUUAUUAAAAAUAAC
Molecule: non-coding RNA, 252 nt
Organism: Pelobates cultripes (western spadefoot toad)
Lineage: Eukaryota; Metazoa; Chordata; Amphibia; Anura; Pelobatidae
Source: the annotation of a GenBank genome assembly